GAGAUAGCUCAGUUGGUUAGUGUGUGGCGUAGAUAAUGCCAAGGUUGCAGGUUCGAUCCCUGUAAGGGACA
Non-coding RNA from Podarcis lilfordi (Lilford's wall lizard), 71 nucleotides. NCBI's taxonomy places the organism in Eukaryota, Metazoa, Chordata, Lepidosauria, Squamata, Lacertidae. The record is from the annotation of a GenBank genome assembly.